Molecule: ribosomal RNA, 492 nt
Filed under: uncultured bacterium
Lineage: Bacteria
Description: partial 16S ribosomal RNA
Rfam family: Bacterial small subunit ribosomal RNA
Source: RNAcentral
AGUGAACGCUGGCGGUAGGCCUAACACAUGCAAGUCGAACGGCAGCACAGUAAGAGCUUGCUCUUACGGGUGGCGAGUGGCGGACGGGUGAGGAAUACAUCGGAAUCUACUUUUUCGUGGGGGAUAACGUAGGGAAACUUACGCUAAUACCGCAUACGACCUACGGGUGAAAGCAGGGGAUCUUCUGACCUUGCGCGAUUGAAUGAGCCGAUGUCGGAUUAGCUAGUUGGCGGGGUAAAGGCCCACCAAGGCGACGAUCCGUAGCUGGUCUGAGAGGAUGAUCAGCCACACUGGAACUGAGCCACGGUCCAGACUCCUACGGGAGGCAGCAGUGGGGAAUAUUGGACAAUGGGCGCAAGCAUGAUCCAGCCAUACCGCGUGGGUGAAGAAGGCCUUCGGGUUGUAAAGCCCUUUUGUUGGGAAAGAAAAGCAGCAGGUUAAUACCCCGCUGUUCUGACGGUACCCAAAGAAUAAGCACCGGCUAACUUCGUG